GGGGAGGUUGAGAAAUGAUCUUGUGUUGUUUUAAGGGGAAAUCUGUAGUUGGUAGUUUUUAGACUUUUUUAAAUGAAUGAUGUGUACUCUUUUGAUUCGUGAAGGAAAUAACUUAUGAGCUUAGUUGUCCUACCCCAUCAGAACCCAAAGUAUAAGCUUGUUUUUAAAUCUAAACAAACAUGGUGCACCCGCAACUAUAAUGUUGAUAUCAUGGACGGUCAGUCCGUGUCUCCAAAGCUCUGACAAGGAUUUUGAGAGUGGUUACAUUAUUCCAGCCCCAUCCCUCAGCUGUUUGCCAAAUCAGUGGCGGGGUGCCACGUUGUUAUCGUUCAAACUGCGGAUUGCCGCUUUAAUGCACACAUCACACCAUACCGGUGCAUCACAACUCAAGUCCUGAGAAGCUAGUUGUGAUUGGCUGUUGUGUCGGAUGUUUUUUGUCACCCAAGAAAUCGUGAAUUGAAAGGUGAAACACCGUCCUCGGAUUAGCGCUUGGGGGGGGAUGUUUUCAUUCCAGAAGGUUAGCUUGCGUCACACAUUCCAAAUGUGAACGCGUUAACAUGGUCUGACACAGUUCCAUCUACAAGCAGUUUCAUUCGAGAGGUUCCAGCACAUUUUCAUGAUGGUGUAUCUGAGGAGAACAAGCCGUGGGAGUGCAGCAGGCUGUCAGUUGGAGUCAUUCUCGAUGUCUCUGGCGAGGCCGAAGUCGCAGAUCUUAGCCACACGGCCAUCGGUCAAGAGGACGUUCCUAGCCGCCACGUCCCUGUGAAUGCACUGCACGAAGACAACAUAGGCGUCAUUCAUAUG
This is a long non-coding RNA of Oncorhynchus keta (chum salmon), 804 nucleotides long. RefSeq lists it as uncharacterized. Lineage: Eukaryota; Metazoa; Chordata; Actinopteri; Salmoniformes; Salmonidae. The transcript has 3 exons. The record is from RefSeq and is a predicted model, not a curated record.